AUUGAACGCUGGCGGCAGGCCUAACACAUGCAAGUCGAGCGAGCGGCGGACGGGUGAGUAAUGUAUGGGGACUGCCCGAUAGAGGGGGAUAACUACUGGAAACGGUGGCUAAUACCGCAUACUAUCCGAUAACCCAUAUGGGAUUAGCUAGUAGGUGGGGUAAAGGCUCCCCUAGGCGACGAUCUCUAGCUGGUCUGAGAGGAUGAUUGGCCACACUGGGACUGAGAAACGGCCCAGACUCCUCCGGAGGAAGCAGUGGGGAAUAUUGCCAAAUGGGCGAAAGCCUGAUGCAGCCAUGCCGCGGGUAGGAAGAAGGCCUUAGGGUUGUAAAGUACUUUAAGCGGGGAGGCGUUACCCGCAGAAGAAGCAACGGCUAACUCCGUGCCAGCAGCCGCGGUAAUUC
RNAcentral lists this ribosomal RNA (403 nucleotides) under uncultured bacterium. RNAcentral's name for it is "partial 16S ribosomal RNA". It matches the Rfam family "Bacterial small subunit ribosomal RNA", at positions 30 to 526 of the family's 1533-position model. The record is from RNAcentral.